Molecule: ribosomal RNA, 648 nt
Filed under: uncultured bacterium
Lineage: Bacteria
Description: bacterial SSU rRNA
Rfam family: Bacterial small subunit ribosomal RNA
Source: RNAcentral
GAACGAGAAAGUGGGGCAAUCCAUGAGUAAAGUGGCGUACGGGUGAGUAACACGUGGAUCAUCUGCCCUUUAGUGGGGAAUACCGCUGGGAAACCGGCGACAAUACCGCAUAAGCUCGAGAGAGGAAAGCAGCAAUGCGCUGAAGGAGGAGUCCGCGGCCGAUUAGCUAGUUGGUAGGGUAAUGGCCUACCAAGGCUGUGAUCGGUAGCCGGCCUGAGAGGGCACACGGCCACACUGGCACUGAAACACGGGCCAGACUCCUACGGGAGGCAGCAGUGGGGAAUCUUGCACAAUGGGGGAAACCCUGAUGCAGCGACGCCGCGUGAGCGAUGAAGCCCUUCGGGGUGUAAAGCUCUUUCGGCAGGGAAGAUUAUGACGGCACCUGUAGAAGCAGCUGCGGCUAACUACGUGCCAGCAGCCGCGGUAAUACGUAGGCAGCAAGCGUUGUUCGGAGUUACUGGGCGUAAAGGGUGCGUAGGCGGUUCUAUAAGUAUGGUGUGAAAUCUCCCGGCUUAACUGGGAGGGUGCGCUAUAGACUGUGGGACUAGAGUGUGGGAGAGGAAAGUGGAAUUCCUGGUGUAGCGGUGAAAUGCGUAGAUAUCAGGAGGAACACCGGUGGUGUAAACGGCUUUCUGGACCAUAACUGAC